This 223-nucleotide ribosomal RNA is filed under the name uncultured bacterium. RNAcentral describes it as "partial 16S ribosomal RNA". It matches the Rfam family "Bacterial small subunit ribosomal RNA", at positions 524 to 745 of the family's 1533-position model. The record is from RNAcentral.
UACGUAGGGGGCUAGCGUUGUCCGGAUUUAUUGGGCGUAAAGAGCGUGUAGGCGGCCAGGUAGGUCUGCUGUGAAAACUCGAGGCUCAACCUCGAGAUGUCGGCGGAAACCAUCUGGCUAGAGUCCGGAAGAGGAGAGUGGAAUUCCUGGUGUAGCGGUGAAAUACGCAGAUAUCAGGAAGAACACCCGUGGCGAAGGCGGCUCUCUGGGACGGUACUGGACG